Molecule: ribosomal RNA, 231 nt
Filed under: Triticum aestivum (bread wheat)
Lineage: Eukaryota; Viridiplantae; Streptophyta; Magnoliopsida; Poales; Poaceae
Description: partial small subunit ribosomal RNA
Source: RNAcentral
AUGGCGCUCACCAACUUCAUCGUGACAGCGGCGGUGGUGGGCGGGGCGCUGCUUCUCUUCACUACCGACGUCCGCAAGUCCGGCGCUGUCUUCCGCCGCAACGCCCGCCAAAUCCGACAGUGGCUCGAGGAGGACACCGCCUCCGCCGCAUCCAAGUCUGCAAAAGAAGCAGUUCCGCCUCCCAGGAAGCUGGAUACAGAGGUUCCCAAGGACAAGCCAAAGGAUCACUGA